Molecule: non-coding RNA, 223 nt
Filed under: Bacillus methanolicus MGA3
Lineage: Bacteria; Bacillati; Bacillota; Bacilli; Caryophanales; Bacillaceae
Source: RNAcentral
GAAAACGUGCAUGAGUUUUAAACCCCAACCCUAACAAGAAAAUAGGCUUCAUUUUAAAGGAUGGCCAAAUAUUGGAGCCAUCUUUUUUUAGGUAUUUUUUUGGAGCUCCCUUAUCUCAUGCCAUCUGUCUUUUGCCAUGCCAACAAUUUUUGUUUCAACAGUUCGGCUCUGCUUUUCGAUGACUUUUGAAAAAAAUUGGGUUGCUUGUUUGAUAUUAUGAAUU